Molecule: ribosomal RNA, 489 nt
Filed under: Pyrocoelia miyako
Lineage: Eukaryota; Metazoa; Arthropoda; Insecta; Coleoptera; Lampyridae
Description: partial 16S rRNA
Rfam family: Bacterial large subunit ribosomal RNA (bases 366-489)
Source: RNAcentral
GUCUUUUUGAUUAUAAUUUAAGGUUUGAUCUGCUCAAUGAAAAUUUAAAUAGCCGCAGUAUUUUGUCUGUGCAAAGGUAGCAUAAUAAUUAGUUUCUUAAUUAGUAACUUGUAUGAAUGAUCGGACAAGAAAAUUUCUGUCUCUUAUUAAUUUUUUGUGAAUUUAAUUUUUAAGUUAAAAUGCUUAAAUUUUUAUAAAAGACGAGAAGACCCCAUAGAGUUUUAUUUUCAUAAUUUUUUAGUAUAAUUAUUUAAAUUGUAAAAUUAGUUGGGGUGACUUAAAGAUUUAAUAAACUCUUUAAAUUUAAAUCAUUGAUUUAUGAAUUGUUAGUCUAAUUUUUUAAGUUUAAAUUAAAUUACCUUGGGGAUAACAGCGUAAUUUCUUUUGAGAGUUCUUAUCAAAUGAGAAGAUUGCGACCUCGAUGUUGGAUUAAAAUUUAUUUUAGGUGUAGAAGCUUAAAAAUUAAGUCUGUUCGACUUUUAAAAUUUU